Molecule: long non-coding RNA, 1459 nt
Filed under: Marmota monax (woodchuck)
Lineage: Eukaryota; Metazoa; Chordata; Mammalia; Rodentia; Sciuridae
Source: RNAcentral
AUCAGAGUGCCCUGACUCUGGAACUGAGGACCCAGAGCCCUGCCUGAGCCUUACCUCCCCACCACCCCCUCAGCUAUCAAAGAAAUUGCUUAGAGGACAGUGUGGCCUAGGCAGGUGGCAGGCCCAGGUUCAGGUCUCAGACCUCCACUUACCAGCUCUGUGACCUUGUGAAGGUGAACCUCCACUCCUCCUCCCCACUUCCCCCACAAUACUGGGGAUGAGUUCAGAAGUGCUCUACCACUGAUCUACACCCAGCCCUUUAAUUUUUAAUUUUGAGCCUUGCUAAUUUGCCUAGGCUGGCUUCAAACCCUCCACCCUCCUGCCUCAGAUCCGGGAUUGCAGGGAUGCACCACUGUGCCCAGCUGUGAACAUAAACUUCUUGAGCUUCAGUUUCCUUAUUGGAAACAGAUGGGGCCACCAGUUGCCACCAGGACUAUCAUGAGGGUAAGGUCGAAAGGGGGAAGUCUGGGUAGGAGCCAGAUGGACCCAGCCUCACACCCUGUUCCUUUCUGCAGUUCCCAAGCCACGCAGCACGUCAGCUCUGCCUCCUGAGACUCUCUUGCAAGCUCAUGCUGCUGUUUCACUGUCUGAGACGUGAUGUUAUUUGGAGAGAAAUAGGGUGCCUCUGAUGAGGAUCGUCAACAGGUUUCCAUAAAUUACAGCAAUGCUAUUUGAGAAGAGGGGAAUCAGGUAUAUUUUUCCCAUGUGAAGAAAAAAAUAAGGGAUUUAGGGCUUGAAUUUACCACAUUGUUAAUGGAUUUUAGCAUAAGCCAAUUGCUUCUGACCCUCAGUUUUUACAGUAUUUUGCAGAGUCUCAGAACAGCCAAUAGGUGUUGGAAUGCAUCCUAAUGGUGCAUCCAGCUCUGCAUGUGGCGUAAGCAGAGCCCAAGUCUCCUCAUGAAACCACCUGAGCAUCCUGGAGGGGAUGGACAGGCCCGGGGUCCAGACACCAUUGCUCCUAGGGAAGACUGCAGGCUGUCCAGCUGCUUUUACUGCAGCACACCAUCUAUCAAGGCUUGUGAGGGCUUCACUCUCUCACUCAUUACAAGCAAAGUCCCCUGGCCAUCUCCCCAGGCCAGGCACAAGGCCAAGGCACACCCCGCAGCGUUUCAGCCUGGAGGACUCACCGAUGUGGAGCCAGUCAGACGCCUGGCUCUGCUGCUCUGCGAGAGGCAGUGGGAAGGGAGAUGGCACAGCCAGGCAGUGCAGAGAGGAGAGCCAUGGAGAGGAGGGAGGGAGGGGCUUCAUCUUGGUCGUCAGCUUUCCCUCUCCAGGACACAAUAACUGGGAAAAACAACUUAGAGGAGGAAAGAUUUAUUUUGACUUGUGGUUUCAGAGAUCUCAGUCUCCAGCUGGUUGUCUCCCUUGCUCGGGGCCUGAGGUGAGGCAGAGCAUUGUGAUGGAAGGGCGUGGGGAGGACAGCUGCUCAGGCCAUGGCCACUGGGAAGGAGAGGAGGAG